RNAcentral lists this ribosomal RNA (253 nucleotides) under uncultured bacterium. Its description in RNAcentral is "partial 16S ribosomal RNA". It matches the Rfam family "Bacterial small subunit ribosomal RNA", at positions 524 to 776 of the family's 1533-position model. The record is from RNAcentral.
GACAGAGGGUGCAACCGUUGUUCGGAAUUACUGGGCGUAAAGCGCGUGUAGGCGGCUAUCUAAGUCGGGCGUGAAAUCCCAUGGCUCAACCAUGGAAGUGCACCCGAAACUGGGCAGCUAGAGUCCUGGAGAGGAAGGUGGAAUGCUUGGUGUAGAGGUGAAAUUCGUAGAUAUCAAGCGGAACACCGGUGGCGAAGGCGGCCUUCUGGACAGUGACUGACGCUGAGACGCGAAAGCGUGGGGAGCAAACAGG